UGAAAGACACCAGAGUCCUGAUUGCCACUGAGCAACCAAAGAUGUUGGACAGACUUCAAGAAGCAAAUAUGCUUUUAGAAGACAUCCAGAAGGGUCUGAAUACUUACUUGGAAAAGAAAAGGUUAUUUUUCCCAA
Non-coding RNA from Podarcis lilfordi (Lilford's wall lizard), 135 nucleotides. The record is from the annotation of a GenBank genome assembly. NCBI's taxonomy places the organism in Eukaryota, Metazoa, Chordata, Lepidosauria, Squamata, Lacertidae.